This 495-nucleotide ribosomal RNA is filed under the name uncultured bacterium. RNAcentral describes it as "partial 16S ribosomal RNA". It matches the Rfam family "Bacterial small subunit ribosomal RNA", at positions 28 to 507 of the family's 1533-position model. The record is from RNAcentral.
GACGAACGCUGGCGGCGUGCCUAAUACAUGCAAGUAGAACGCUGAAGGAGGAGCUUGCUUCUCUGGAUGAGUUGCGAACGGGUGAGUAACGCGUAGGUAACCUGCCUGGUAGCGGGGGAUAACUAUUGGAAACGAUAGCUAAUACCGCAUAAGAGUAGAUGUUGCAUGACAUUUGCUUAAAAGGUGCAAUUGCAUCACUACCAGAUGGACCUGCGUUGUAUUAGCUAGUUGGUGGGGUAACGGCUUACCAAGGCGACGAUACAUAGCCGACCUGAGAGGGUGAUCGGCCACACUGGGACUGAGACACGGCCCAGACUCCUACGGGAGGCAGCAGUAGGGAAUCUUCGGCAAUGGACGGAAGUCUGACCGAGCAACGCCGCGUGAGUGAAGAAGGUUGUCGGAUCGGAAAGCUCGGUUGUAAGAGAAGAACGAGUGUGAGAGUGGAAAGUUCACACUGUGACGGUAUCUGACCAGAAAGGGACGGCUAACUACGUG